UAAAUAGAAUAUACAAAUUCAUAGAGACAGAAAGAUUAGAUGUUAUCUCAAGAUGGAGAAGAAAGGAAUAUAGAGCAAUGAUUUCCUAAGUACAGAAUCUCUGUUUUAUGUGAUGGAAAAGUCCCACAAAUGGACAGUAGUAUCAGGACAUAAUAUCAUGAAUGUAAUAAAUCAAUACACGUAAUGUAAUUAAUGAAUAUUAUAAAUGCAGUUAUUGAAUGAAUACUGCAAAUGUAAUCAAUGAAUACCACAAAUGUAAUUAAUAUCAUGAGUGUAAUUAAUGAAUACCAUGAAUGUAAAUAAUAAGUAAAUAAGUAAAUAAAUGAAAAGAAAGGUCUGCUAAUUGCCAAAAGUAACCACAAACAGAAGUAUAAGGGAGCAAUUUACUGGACCAAAAAUUAAGACAUACCAUAAAACAAGUUCAUAAGAACAGGAGCAGGCAGGUAGAAUUUAAAAACAAAAAAGUUCUGAAAUAAUCAGGAGGCAGAGGCAGAAGAAUUUCUCUGUGUUUGAGGACAGCCUCAGCUAAAUAGUGAGUUCCAAGACAGCCAGGGUUAUAUAGAGAAACCUGUCUCAAAACAAACAAACAAAAAACCCUAAACCCAGCUCUGAAAUAAAUUCACUUACAUAUGGCAGCUUAAUUGAAGAGAGCUCCACAUAGUGACAAGAAAUGAUUCCAUAGCUGUGAUAAGUGCUGUCAACUUGCGAAAAUCUAGAAUCAUGUGGACCUGUGCCUCUGAGCAUGCCCAAGGGGGACCAUCUUGAUAACCAUACCUGGGGCGCCACUGUGGUGGCCCCAUUCUCUGACUAGGAUCUGAGACUGAGUCAGUGGGGAAAGAGAAGUGAGCUCCAGUUUGGACUCAUCACUCAUCUCCGCUUCUUACUGCAGAUGCAACGUGACUCGCUAGCCUAAGCCCCUGCAGUUGUGACCUCCUCUACCACGAUGGACCAAUGGACCAUAACCUUGGGUGAUGGUGUGGAUGUACCACUUGCAUGCCUGGUGCCUACAAGUCCAGAGGAGGACAACCGAUCAUCUGGAGUGACAGGUGGUGCUGAGCCACCUGAUGUGGGUGCCGCGAACAGAACUUUGUCCUCGGUUGAGCCAUCUCUCCAGGCGACCCGCCACUGCCCCCUUUGAGAUAGGGGAACACUCUUGGAGGAGGCUAGUUUGGAACACACAGUGCAGCUCAGGCUGGACUCGAAACUGCAGUGAUCCCUCUGCCUCAGUCUCCUCAGUGCUGAGAGGACACUUUCCGGAGCUGGCGCUUCUGAGGAGCUUCUCCAUGGAGGCUGUUGUGCCAGCAGGAGGGGCUCUGUGGCUCAGGUGGGAGAGCUGUGAGGACAGGGAUGCCAGGCCUGGGUACAGAGGAGGGGUCAGCAGGGGGGAAGUUUUGUUCGAUGGUCUGAGAUCUGGUGCUCUGGGAAAGUUCCCGAGAGACAGACUUGAGCUGAUUUUCUUCAUUUAGGACUGACAUGUAAAAGAAAAUUCGUCAGGGGGAAAAAAAAAUCGGGGUUGUGAAAGUAUUGAGGCAGGGAUGAGCUGGGGAAUAUGAGGGAAUCGUGAGAGCACCUGUGUGUUUGGAUUGGCCUCCUGGGAGAGAAUAUUGAAGGUAGGACCUCAGCAAAGGAAACUUCUGUGUCGGUUGGAAUCUUUGUGAAUUUCCCAAAGAAGGGUACUACGCCUAUUAUUAUUAUUAUUAUUAUUGUUGUUGUUGUUAUUAUUAUUACUAUUACUAUUAUUAUUAUUAUUAUUUUUGUGUGACCUCCACUUUGCUGCUCAUAGUCAUUGUAGGUAUCCUGUAUUUCUAGGAGGGGUGGUGUUGGUAGAGUGAGAAGGAUUUGCUCAAGACUUAGCGAUUCCUGUAUAGCCAGCAUUCUGUUUAUACCGUUUUGUAUAUUAAAAUAUUUAUGUAAUGGAUUAUCAUUUACACUUAAAUUCUGUUGGCUUGCUAGCCUGACUUUAUAUAUAUAUAUAUAAUAUAUAUUAUAUAUAUUAAAGAUAUUGGAGUUUUCUUAGACUUGCUGUUGGAAGGGAGCUGUGAAGCCAUGUUCCUACAUUCAUUGACACGAAAUAUAUUCAACUCCACAAUGAUAGCUGGAGAAAAGAUUGACAGCUGCCUGGAGAAGCAGAUAGUAAAUUUCCUGGAUUGCUCUACGGAUUUGGAAGACUUUGGAAGGUAGAAGUUUAUUUGAAAUUUUCACAGAGAAACACUCUUGUGCAGAGGGCUGGAGAGAUGGUUUAAUGAUUAAGAAUACUUAACUACUGUUUCAGAGGACUCAGGUCCAUUUCCCAGCACCUGCAUGGUGGCUCACAACUGUGCAACUCCAAUUCCAGGGGAUCCAACAUCCUCUUCUGACACCCAUGGGUACCAGGCACAUAUGUAGUGCGCAUGUAUACACCCAGGCAAACCACUCAUAUACAUCAAAUGAAUAAAUAAAUUUUGGAUACUUUUUUGGCA
This is a long non-coding RNA of Peromyscus californicus insignis, 2459 nucleotides long. RefSeq lists it as uncharacterized. Lineage: Eukaryota; Metazoa; Chordata; Mammalia; Rodentia; Cricetidae. The transcript has 2 exons. The record is from RefSeq and is a predicted model, not a curated record.